CCAGACUCCUACGGGAGGCAGCAGUGGGGAAUAUUGGACAAUGGAGGAAACUCUGAUGCAGUGACACCGCGUAUAGGAAGAAGGUCUUAGGAUUGUAAGCUAUUGUCGUGUGGGAAGAAAAUGACCAUCACAGGAGGAAGCCCUGGCUAAAUAUGUGCCAGCAGCCGCGGUAAUACAUAUGGGGCGAGCGUUAUCCGGAUUUAUUGGGUGUAAAGGGUGCGUAGGCGGGAAAAUAAGUCAGUAUGUGAAAUCCCUCGGCUCAACUGAGGAACUGCAACUGAAACUAUUUUUCUUGAGUGUUGAAGGGGAAAGUGGAAUUCCUAGUGUAGCGGUGAAAUGCGUAGAGAUUAGGAGGAACACCAGUGGCGAAGGCGACUUUCUGGGCAACAACUGACGCUGAGGCACGAAAGUGUGGGGAGCAAACAGGAUUAGAUACCCUGGUAGUCCACACCGUAAACGAUGGAUACUAGGAGUUGGCAAAAAUAUUGUCGGUUCCGCAGUUAACGCAUUAAGUAUCCCACCUGGGGAGUACGACCGCAAGGUUAAAACUCAAAGGAAUUGACGGGGGCCCGCACAAG
Molecule: ribosomal RNA, 578 nt
Filed under: uncultured bacterium
Lineage: Bacteria
Description: bacterial SSU rRNA
Rfam family: Bacterial small subunit ribosomal RNA
Source: RNAcentral